CAGCACUGCAGUGUCUCCAUCAUGGCCUGGGCUCCUCUAUUCUUCACCCUCCUCGCCCUCCUCACAGGGUCCCUCUCCCAGCCCGUGCUGACUCAGCCGCCCACUGCAUCUGCCUCCCUGGGAGCCUCUGUGACACUUGCCUGCACCCCAAGCAGCGGCCACAGCGGUUAUGCUGUCGACUGGCACCAGCAGAGCCCAGGGAAGGGCUCCCGGUUCGUGAUGCGAGUGGGCAGCGGUGGUGUUGUGGGAUCCAAGGGGGAUGGGAUCCCUGAGGGCUUCUCAGUCUCGGGUUCAGGCCUGGAUCGGUACCUGACCAUUCGGAACAACCAGGAGGACGAGGCUGACUACCACUGUGGGGCAGACCACAGCAGUGGGAGCAGCUUCGCGUACUCCACAGUGACACAGGCGGGGGGAAGGGCUGAUUCUCAGACUGUGGUGACCCAGGAGCCAUCACUGUCAGUGUUUCCAGGAGGGACGACCACACUCACCUGUGGCCUUAGCUCUGGAUCAGUCUCUACGGGACACUACCCCAGCUGGUACCAGCAGGCACCGGGCCAGCCUCCACAUAGGCUUAUCCACAGCACGAACGUCCGCCCCUCUGGGGUGCCUGAUCGCUUCUCAGGCUCCAUUGUUGGGAGCAAAGCCGCCCUCACCAUCACGGGGGCCUAG
Molecule: non-coding RNA, 669 nt
Organism: Propithecus coquereli (Coquerel's sifaka)
Lineage: Eukaryota; Metazoa; Chordata; Mammalia; Primates; Indriidae
Source: the annotation of a RefSeq genome assembly